AACAUCUCAGUUAUUAUCUUACACUUAACAGAAUUUUCCUGAUUGACCCAUCAAGGAUAGGGGCAGAGACAAGAUGGCAGAGAGGAUAUUAAAACUCACCCUAGAGAUACUCUUCCAACUUACUGGAGAGGAUUAUACAGUAGUGAAGAAGACCUCUAGAGAAAGCUGUCAGGCCUCUGAGGGAAGAACCUUGAGCCCAAGCACAGGGCCUCCACUUCACCCCCUGACACAUGAGGAAAUCAAUGAACAGAAGAUCCUAGAACUCAUCCACAAGAUGGUGGAGCUGCUGACUGGAGAGGUUCCUAUAAGGUGUCAGGAUGUCACUGUCUAUUUCUCCAUGGAGGAGUGGGAGUAUGUA
Molecule: long non-coding RNA, 358 nt
Organism: Bufo bufo (common toad)
Lineage: Eukaryota; Metazoa; Chordata; Amphibia; Anura; Bufonidae
Exons: 3
Source: RefSeq, a predicted model, not a curated record